AAGUUAUAUUGGAUAAUAUAUAGUUUUGAAAACUAUAAAAGAGUGUUCGAUUCACUUG
RNAcentral lists this transfer RNA (58 nucleotides) under Amphioctopus fangsiao. Its description in RNAcentral is "tRNA-Ser". Lineage: Eukaryota; Metazoa; Mollusca; Cephalopoda; Octopoda; Octopodidae. The record is from RNAcentral.